CAAUAGCGUAUAUUUAAGUUGUUGCAGUUAAAAAGCUCGUAGUUGGAUUUUGGGUCGGGGGCACCGGUCCGCCGUUCCGGUGUGCACUGGUGGCCCCUUCCUUUCUGCCGGGGACGUGCGUCGCACUUAAUUGGGUGGCGUUCGGAGUCGGCGUUGUUACUUUGAAAAAAUUAGAGUGUUCAAAGCAAGCCAUCGCUCUGAAUACAUUAGCAUGGAAUAACAUGAUAGGACUCCGGUCUUAUUUUGUUGGUUUCCGAGACUGGAGUAAUGAUUAAGAGGGACAGUCGGGGGCAUCCGUAUUUCAUUGUCAGAGGUGAAAUUCUUGGAUUUAUGAAAGGCGAACUUCUGCGAAAGCAUUUGCCAAGGAUGUUUNCAUUAA
RNAcentral lists this ribosomal RNA (379 nucleotides) under uncultured eukaryote. RNAcentral describes it as "partial 18S ribosomal RNA". It matches the Rfam family "Eukaryotic small subunit ribosomal RNA", at positions 592 to 976 of the family's 1831-position model. The record is from RNAcentral.